GUGAAUCAUCGAAUCUUUGAACGCAAAUUGCACUCCCUGGUAUUCCGGGGAGUAUGCCUGUUUGAGGGUCAGUAAAAUAAAAAAUCGAUUCAUCGCUCUUUGUUUUGGGGUGAUCGCGUCGGCAUUGAGCCAUCUUUCAGAUGUGAAUUGAUAUCAAAGUUUCGUCAAAUUCAUUCAGCCGAUACGAUUGAAAGAUGUAUA
Molecule: unclassified non-coding RNA, 201 nt
Filed under: Glomeraceae sp.
Lineage: Eukaryota; Fungi; Glomeromycota; Glomeromycetes; Glomerales; Glomeraceae
Description: partial contains 5.8S ribosomal RNA and internal transcribed spacer 2
Rfam family: 5.8S ribosomal RNA (bases 1-71)
Source: RNAcentral